RNAcentral lists this ribosomal RNA (483 nucleotides) under uncultured bacterium. Its description in RNAcentral is "partial 16S ribosomal RNA". It matches the Rfam family "Bacterial small subunit ribosomal RNA", at positions 29 to 507 of the family's 1533-position model. The record is from RNAcentral.
AUUGAACGCUGGCGGCAUGCUUUACACAUGCAAGUCGAACGGCAGCGCGGGCUUCGGCCUGGCGGCGAGUGGCGAACGGGUGAGUAAUACAUCGGAACGUGCCCAGUAGUGGGGGAUAGCUCGGCGAAAGCCGGAUUAAUACCGCAUACGACCUGAGGGUGAAAGCGGGGGAUCUUCGGACCUCGCGCUAUUGGAGCGGCCGAUGGCAGAUUAGCUAGUUGGUGGGGUAAAGGCCUACCAAGGCGACGAUCUGUAGCUGGUCUGAGAGGACGACCAGCCACACUGGGACUGAGACACGGCCCAGACUCCUACGGGAGGCAGCAGUGGGGAAUUUUGGACAAUGGGCGAAAGCCUGAUCCAGCAAUGCCGCGUGUGUGAUGAAGGCCUUCGGGUUGUAAAGCACUUUUGGCGGAACGAAAAGGACUGUGCCAAUACCACGGUUCGAUGACGGUACCCGCAGAAUAAGCACCGGCUAACUACGUG